CAUUUUGCAUAGAUGAGGUUUCCUUUACCAGGUGUCAACGAUGAACACAAUCUGCAAUUGAAGAGAGAGAGGAACAAAAUUAAUUAAAAUAAUUUCGGUGACACCAACAAUGAAAUGGCUGAGCCCAAAAUAAAUAUAUGACAAUCGUUUGGUACCGAAUGUAACUUUUCUUUAUCGUUUAGCAACAUAAAAAAAGCUUUUGAUUAUCAGUGGAAAACGAAGGUGAUGACGAUAACACACAGGUAUUCCAUUACUAAAACUAGGCUAAGUUGUUUCGGUGUUUCAUUAAAAGAUACUGGAAAAAUAAAAUCGAAAUAAAUUCAAUUAAAAUUUGUCACACGAAAUUGUGACUCAAUCA
Long non-coding RNA from Bradysia coprophila, 358 nucleotides. Lineage: Eukaryota; Metazoa; Arthropoda; Insecta; Diptera; Sciaridae. The record is from RefSeq and is a predicted model, not a curated record.